Molecule: ribosomal RNA, 490 nt
Filed under: uncultured bacterium
Lineage: Bacteria
Description: partial 16S ribosomal RNA
Rfam family: Bacterial small subunit ribosomal RNA
Source: RNAcentral
AUUGAACGCUGGCGGCAGGCCUAACACAUGCAAGUCGAACGGAAACAGGAAGCAGCUUGCUGCUUUGCUGACGAGUGGCGGACGGGUGAGAAAUGUCGGGGAAACUGCUUGAUGGAGGGGGAUAAUUACGGGAAACGGUAGUUAAAACCGCAUACCGUCGCAAACCCAAAGAGGGGGACUUUCGGGCCUCUUGCCUUCGGAUGUGCCCAGAUGGGAUUAGCUAGUGGGUGGGGUAACGGCUUACCUAGGCGACGAUCCCUAGUGGGUCUGAGAGGGUGACCAGCCCCACUGGAACUUGGACACGGUCCAGACUCCUACGGGAGGCAGCAGUGGGGAAUUUUGCCACAUGGGCGAAAACCUUAAGGAGCAACGCCGGGUGAUAUAAAAAGGGCUUCGGGUUUUAAAACUCCUUUAAGGGGGAAGAAAGGGAGUAAAGUUAACACUUUUCCCCUUGACGGUACCCAAACAAAGAACCACGGGUAACUCCGUG